UUGUACAUUUUUAAGAAUUGAAAACCUUUUAACAAACUGUUUUAACUUGCAGAGUUAUUUGUUUUAACCCGAUUUUCAAUUCUUAUUAUACAUUGAUGUAUUGUAUACUUUAUAUUUGAUUGUUCACAUUUAAACUGAUAGAACACAUAAACCAUUGUAAUGUCUAUAACAAAACACUAUGGUUCGAGUGUAAAAGAAAGACACCAUCAGAAAACAUAAAACAUCUGUAUGUCCUUAACAAUACACCUAGGCUCGAGUGUGAUAGAUAAAUACCAUCAUAAUACACAAAUCAAUUGUAAUGUACUUAAUAAUACACCUAGGAUCGAGUGUAAAGGACAAUCACCAUAAUAUAACACAUAUAUCAUUUGUAACGUCCUUAAUAAUACACCUAGGAUCGAGUGUAAAGGACACUCAUCAUUAGAUAACACCUAGGCUCGAGUGUAAUGUCCUUAGUAAAACACCUAGACUCGAGUGUAAAGGACAGGUACGUUAGAACUUAGUUAGUCGUAGAUACUACUUUCCUAGUCGAAAAGUAAUGAGUAAUCUUAAAGAUUGGAGACACGUCCUUGUAACACUUCCUUGGCAUGAGAUAGUGGAGGACUAACCUUGUAACCAGAAUCUCCGAACGUAGGAGAGCGUGGCUUGAGUGUAUAGAUCUAUACGGGACUGACAAUCCCACACCUGGCUGCUAGCUACAGCCGAACCGAAAGGUUCAAGGGUGACGAAAGCCAUAAAAAGGAUACUGGCCCUGGUCCGAGUCAUAUCUAGUCUGAGUAUGGUUAAGGACUCGCAAUCAGGAUUAUUAACACUUUACGAGUAUUUAUUAGUUUUAUGUUCGUAAUAAAACUAAUGUACGUUCAAGGAUGACAGGCACAAAUACACUCACACAUUCAGGAAAACAUGGGGUUUUCCUGGGGAGAACACUGAACAUAACCAAAAUCGGUAAAACAUGGGGUUUUCCUGGGGAGAACACUGAACAUAACCAGAAAUCGGUAAAGAUACACUCACAUAGUCAGGAAAACAUGGGGUUUUCCUGGGGAGGACAAUGAACAUAAUCAGAAUUGGUAAUAGUUCACACUCACACAGUCAGGAGAACAUGGGGUUCUUCCUAAGUAACAGUAGUACGUAACUAGAAAAGUAUAACAAGUUAAAUAACUAAAAUACAAUUCAUAAGAACAAUCAUGUUUUCAUUAUACAUUGUUUACUUUACUUUUCGGAUUUGGAAAAUAACUUUACAUAAGAAAAUAUGGGAUUUUCUUGGAUAACCACUUUUUCAGGAAAACCAAAGAAACUCGUACAUUUUCAGAAAACUAACCGCUUAUGAACUCACUAGCUUUAUGCUGAUUUUCAAACCGCUUGUAUUCUCAGGUCCAUGUUAGACAUGUACCCAAAGAUCUUUUUGUUCGAAGAUGGAGUUCUUAGAAGACUCAUUUCGUGUUGUUCAUAUAUACUAUGUAUCACAUGUAUAACUUAUGCUUUUGAAACGAAUGUAAAACUUUCAUAUAUGUAAUGUAAUGGUUGAUUUACUUUACUUAUUAUGUAUAUUGGAUUUGAUACUCAACGUGGAGUCAACCCCGAAAAUGUUUCCGCCUUCGGUUUUCGGGGUGUGAUAGAUUGGUAUCCGAGCCCUUGUUUAUAGUGAAUGAAGUAUACCAAACCUUACAUGGUAUAAAAAUAUACACAUUAAGGGGCCUAAGUGCUCUGAACUAAAAGUAUCCAUCAAAAUAUAAGUAUUUUCAAAAGUAUAUAAGUAUACCAACCCGUCGAGAUCCGUAACUACAAGCAGAACAGAAUAUAAGUAAAUGGGUGUUGUAUGAUAUGGUUAAACCUGGGCAGUUAUGUAGUCGUGUCUAGGAUCAAUAUAGCUUGGCCUACUAUAUUCAUUCGAGACAUGGCCAACAUGUGCUUGGGAGUGAGUGUGGUAUGCGGCAUGCCUAAAACUUAUCCUAAUACCAAAAACAUCGAGCCAGUGUCGUAACGAAUCAUGAAAUACUAUGGGAGUAUUUCUCGAGCCAAUCCUUGGUAGAAAUCCUCGUUCAUACAUUGUUCUUUGAUCAUUCUCUUAGCGAUAAUUUUCUUGCCUUGAUAACUCUUUCCUGCUUUAUCGCUUAUUCAGCAUAUAUCUAUCAUAUCUCUUGAUUCAAUUCAGAAGACUUAUCAUCCUCUAUUCAUUGAUCUUAUUAGAUCAAGAUGCCUCCAAGAAAGAGACCCAACUCCAAGACCAACAACCUUCCGCCACCACCUCCUCCCCAAAUUGAUCCAGUAGUAUUUUAGGCAGCUGUUACAGCCGCGGUAGCAGCUGCCAUGUCUCAACGGAACUCCGACGGUUCCAGUGGUUCGGGAGGUGGUACCCAAACCCAAAACCAAGAAAGCAGUCAGGGACGCCGGAAAGAGGGUUCCUAUAAGGAUUUCAUGAACGCCAAGCCCACAUCCUUUGAUGGCACUGGAGGUGUCAUUUCCCUCACUCGAUGGUUCGAGAAGAUCGAAUCCAUUUUUGAAAUUUGCGCCUGUUCAGAUUCAGACAAGGUGAAGUUUGCCGCUUGCAACUUUAUCUACAAAGCCUUGACUUGGUGGAAUGGCCGAGUCAAAUCCCUAACCUUACCUGUAGCCAACGCCAUGGGUUGGGAAGCCAUGAAGGAACUUCUGCUGGCUAAGUACUGCCAUCGAGGCGAAAUGCAGAAGUUAGAACAUGAACUUUGGAACCUGAAGAUGAAAGGUUCCGACAUCACCACUUACACUUCCAGGUUCGACGACUUGGCACUACUUUGCCCGGGAAUGGUUACCCCGGAGAGUAAGAAGAUAGAAAGAUUCAUCUGGGGGCUGACCCACCCAACCAAAGGAAAUGUCUUAGCCGCGAGGCCGGAUACAUACGACAGCGCCAAACGCUUAGCACAUAUCCUAAUCGAUCAUAGUGAAGACCUUGAGGAGGCAGCUACCACUCCUGAGCCGAUAGUGAGGAGUGGUGAGAAAAGAAAACUGGGGAAGAAAGAGUAAAGUCAGGCAUCGCACGAGUCUUCGAAGAGACAGCAAACGGUGGCAGUUCACGCUGUCACUUCCCCUGCAACUGUUUCUGUUGAUGGAUCCUCAACCCGAAAACUUGCCAAUAGGUAUACUGGAACCCUUCCUAGUUUUGGCAAGUGCAACUAUCAUCGUCUUCCUUCCGGUCCAUGUAUCAAGGUAAUUUGCAACAAAUGUGGCAUAAAGGGUCACAUGGCGAAAAACUGUAAGACACCAACUCAAUCAACGAGUCAAACUUCUGGAGCGGGCAUUGGUCGGGCCUGCUAUGGUUGUGGAGAAGUGGGGCAUCUUAAGCGAAACUGCCCCAAGGCUGUAAGACCUGGCAACACCGGAAGAGUUCUAGCGAUAGGACAAGAGGAGACAGUCACCGAUCCCACCGUUGCCAUAGGUAUAUUUCCCUUUGUUAAAUUUAUAUGCCUGUGAUUCUUUUCGAUUCUAGCACCGAAAGAAAUUCGUUAACCAUCCAUUGGGACAUCUUCUAACCCCAUCCUUUGCGAGUAACCGAAAAUGUAUACCUUCGAGAUGGUUAUCACGUGAGAACGAGAACGCUUUUGUCGUAUCCGUAGAUUGUAUUCUCAAUCCGAGCAAUUAUUCUUUCCAUUCGACCUAUUGGCAAACUUUUUAUGAAAUGCUUUGAUGUCACCUUUAGCAUGUAAUGAUUGAGCCUCAUUCAUGUUGUCUUUUCUAGUUUCGAGAAAGCCAUUUGUUCCAACCUUCCUCCGACUUGACCUUCAUGAUCCUCGUACAUCAAAUCUUAAAAAGUUUUCCCAUGUACCUCUCGUCCGAGUAAUCAUCGAGAAACGAGAAGUCUACGAUUCUUUCCCCGAUACUGUUUCCAAAGAAUUCUUGAUAAUUCUUUCCGAACGUGUAGUCAAGUCUCACAUCGACCUAAUCCCUGAAAUUAUCUCGUAACCAAACUUCAGUAAGCACGAUAUGUGCAAGGCAGCAAUCAGGGCAUGAUGAUCACUACGNCACUACGAGGUAGUAGUGGCGCCCUUCGGUCGAACCAUUUUCUUGGUCAUGUAGAUAAGCAAAGCAGUCAUACUCGUAAACCCUUCCAAAAGCAAAGGCAAUAAAGAAUUAGUCAACACCAGGAACACCCAUGGAAACUUGUCGAUUCUUUGGUUCCGCCGACUAUAAUCGUAGACUCAUGUAGAAGUUUCCCUUAGAACCAUCGGAACCUUAGUUGCUUUGCCAUGUGAAAAUGUACCCACUUGUUGGAGGUUUUACCCUGGAAAGACAUAGUACGCCUUUGGAAGUGUGGAAAACUUAACUUGUGGAACCUUAGACUCUUCGAGAUCCUUGUUAGGAAUCGAUUCCAUAGCCCUCUUCGAGCUAUCUUUAGGAACUCCGCAGCGAGCAUCCGGUAUUCCACAUCGUUGUUUGUGAGAAGUGCUAACCUGACAAAAACCUUAGUCACCCUUUGAUGAGGUCAAAACCAAUGAAAAUCUGAACCAUCGUGUAUGAAUCAAUUGAGAUCGUGGAUUGAGAGGUUAACCAUGCGUAACAAAGCCACAUCCUGACAGUGAGGGUUCGCUGGAAUGUCAAGCGAAGACCCGAUUCCACUUAGGAGCUUGAAGACCCGAAACAGUAGAUUCAUCCUCAUAUCUCUUUUCACUUCGUGAUCUGUAUUCGAAUUUUUGAAUUUCGGGACGAAAAUCCCUCUAAUGGGGGGAUAAUGUAACAACCCGAAAUUCAUAUCCCUAAAUGUAAUCGUUCUCGCGACUUGUUCUGAUCAUCCAAUCGCGGUUUCCGAUUUCAUUUCCGAUUCCAACAUUUUAUUAAGUCAUUAAUGUGGAUUUUAUUUUAUGAAUUAAUGAGUGUCUUAAAACCCUUAGAACUCAUUCUAACGCCUCAUAUUAAUGAUCAGAACAUUUCUAGAAUCAACCAUAUCGGGUUACGGCAAAUUGGCCGGGUGCGACCAAAAGCCCCGUCUAACGUUGGUAUCGGGUAAAAUUUUACCGUGUCCCGAACUUGGACACUAUUUAAAGUGAUCCAAGUCUUCAUUUUGAAGAUUUUGCUUCAUUCUACAACUAUCACUCCAACCUCUCUCCUCAAACUAGAUUUAAAGGUCCAAAUCUCAAGUUUAAGGCUUCAAAUCUUCAAGGUACCUUCCUAUACUCAUUGUGUAUCAUAUUGGACCUUCAAAUUCGAGAUUUAUUCAUGAUUUAGAGCCUUGUAUAUGAGUUUAUGUCCCAGGAAGGUCCUUAGGCCGUAAACCCAUAUUUAAAGGGUUUUUAAGCCCUUAAACCCUUCCAUGACUCAAACUAGACCUAGAUAUGACUUUUAGAAAUUUGGUAAUGGAGUUCGAACACUUCAAACAUGGAUUUUGAGGGAUUUGUAUGAGUUUACGGCCAAGGCAUGUGUUUGGGCCGUAAACUCCUCAAACAUGGGUGUAAACUCAUUUCCAAUGUGUUAGAAAGCCAUCCAACACCAACAAAAGCCUUGGAAUAAAUCAUAGAACCAACCAAAAAUAGUUUAGGGACCUUAAACAUAACAAAACCUCACAUAUGAGAGUUUACGGCCAUAGAACAUGCUCCAGGGCCGUAAACUCCUAAUUAUAUGUUGUUUGAUGCCCUAAAUUCACCCCAAGCCUUGGAAAAUUAACUAGAAUCACAUGUGAUUGUCCUAAGCAUCACAAAUUAAAUAUGGUUUGAGCAUGGGAGAGUUUACGGCCGUAAACUCAAAGUUUACAUCCGUGAACUCUCAAAUGUUAUGUAUAUGUUGAUUCAACUAAACCAUGGCAUUAGAAAAAUCCAUUCCAACAUUCCCUUGUUCAUUUAAGCCAUUUUAGCACUCAAAACAACCCAAACAUGAGUUCACGGCCGUGAACUCAUGUAUAUAGGGGUAUAUGGCUGUAAGAUUCAUUAGGAAGUUUACUCUUGGGGAGUAAACUCAACUCCCAAGUCCCUCGCUUCAAUUCUCGUCCGUAGAUGUCACCCGGGUCACUCCAAACACCCGUUUUGAGGUGUUUUCGUUCGUUGGAGUGUGACUUCAUAUCUAAUUAGAGUUUAUGAAUCUAAUUAGAAAUAUUUUUAUGCCAUUUCAUGUUACAUAGGAACCUCAUGUGUUAUCAGGCCUCGAUUCGACGGUUAGCAUCCGAAAUCGACACAUUUUCGCGUCCGGUGAGUUCAUACCCCUACCCUUUUUCAAUGGUUUUUCAAUGUUUUCAGAGGGGAAUACAAGCAAAAGUACAAGAAUAUCUUGUACUUAAACACAUGAUUUCGGUUAAAUGGUUUCAUAAUUGUACAUUUUUAAGAAUUGAAAACCUUUUAACAAACUGUUUUAAUUUGCAGAGUUAUUUGUUUUACCCCGAUUUUCAAUUCUUAUUAUACAUUGAUGUAUUGUAUACUUUAUAUUUGAUUGUUCACAUUUAAACUGAUAGAACACAUAAACCAUUGUAAUGUAUGUAACAAAACACUAAGGUUCGAGUGUAAAAGAAAGACACCAUCAGAAAACAUAAAACAUCUGUAUGUCCUUAACAAUACACCUAGGCUCGAGUGUAAUGUCCUUAACAAAACACCAAGACUCGAGUGUAAAGGACAAUCACCAUAAGAUAACACAUAUAUCAUUCGUAACGUCUUUGAUAAUACACCUAGGAUCGAGUGUAAAGGACAAUCACCAUAAGAUAACACAUAUAUCAUUCGUAACGUCUUUGAUAAUACACCUAGGAUCGAGUGUAAAGGACAGUCAUCAUUAGAUAACACCUAGGCUCGAGUGUAAUGUCCUUAACAAAACACCAAGACUCGAGUGUAAAGGACAAGUACGUUAGAACUUAGUUAGUCGUAGAUACUACUUUCCUAGACGAAAAGUAAAGAGUAAUCUUAAAGAUUGGAGACACGUCCUUGUAACACUUCCUGGGCACGAGAUAGUGGAGGACUAACCCUGUAACUAGAAUCUCCGAGCGUAGGAGAGCGUGGCUUGAGUGUAUAGAUCUAUACGGGAUGACAAUCCCACACCUGGCUACUAGCUACAGCCGAACCGAAAGGUUCAAGGGUGACGAAAUUCAUAAAAAGGUUACUGGCCUUGGUCCGAGUCAU
This 7058-nucleotide long non-coding RNA is filed under the name Lactuca sativa (garden lettuce). RNAcentral describes it as "long non-coding RNA (LSAT_LNC001096)". Lineage: Eukaryota; Viridiplantae; Streptophyta; Magnoliopsida; Asterales; Asteraceae. The record is from RNAcentral.